RNAcentral lists this long non-coding RNA (1030 nucleotides) under Mus pahari (shrew mouse). Its description in RNAcentral is "predicted gene 9946 (MGP_PahariEiJ_G0005096.1)". The record is from RNAcentral. Lineage: Eukaryota; Metazoa; Chordata; Mammalia; Rodentia; Muridae.
ACUGUGUGCCGGCUGCCCUCGCUCUCACUGGCAGGUUCUUCCCUGAUGUUAGAACCCACUUCUUCAGGCGCCCAAAGUAAACUGGAGUAAACAGCAGCUCUCCAAGAAUCCUCUAGGCCUUUUGGCACCAAAUUGGAACUUCCAAAGCAUCCAGCGUUGAGGACUGUCAGUGUGAGACAACCACUGUUGGACGACAAGAGCCACACCGUGAACUGACCAAGAUCACUAAGCACUCCCAGCUCUCAGGCUUUUGGACUCAGGCUGAAUUCUUCUACUGUUCUCCAAUUCUGCAGACAGUAAGCCAUGGGAAUCUCAGUCUCCACAGCCACUGAAUCCUCUUCUUAUAGAGAGACUCCAUGUCUGUGAGGGUACCUAGCAGAGCACCUUGUAGCUAGUAUCUUCUCAUGGACUGGAUGGGAUCCUACAGGAAACAGAAUUCCAGUGUCAGUGUCCCUUCCGAUGCUCUCGGACUCUAAGCCAAACCAAGAGUCUAAUGCAGCUCCUGUCCUGCAGAGGUGUUGUACAACAUACAAGAGGUCAUAAAGACUCUGCCCACAUCAUCUUGGUUAUCAAACUCAAGUGGAACUGCUACUGCUCGAAGACAAAUGUCUUUAAAGUCCCGCUGUCCUGUUUCAAAUAAACAGAGGAAGGAGAGAGAUGGGGAGGAGGUACAGAAUGCCUUGGGGACAGAAGGAAGAAAAUACCCAGAGCAUGCACAAAGCCAAGUGGUGACGAACUCUGGAGGACUUAUCUCAUCCAAGAGAGAGAUAAGAGUGACUGGAGGAAACUGCGUUUGGGAGACACCCCAGUCUCUAUAGUGCUGGCCCCACAAGCAUGAGGACCUGAGUUUGAUCGCCAAAAUAUACACUUUAAAAGUCAAGUUUAGCAGUGUGCACUUGUAAGUCAAGUACUGGGAAGGCUAAAACAGGCCGCUACCGGGUCUCACCAGCCAGCCAGCCUAGCCUACUAGGCAAGUGCAGACCAACAAGAGACCAUGAAACAAAGUGGGUGGCUCCUAAGGAAUGGCACU